CCUACGGGUGGCAGCAGUGAGGAAUAUUGGUCAAUGGACGAGAGUCUGACCCAGCCAAGUCGCGUGAAGGAUGAAUGCCCUAUGGUUUUUAAACUUCUUUUAUAAAGGAAUACAACGAGGCACGUGUGCCUUUUUGCAUUUACUUUAUGAAUAAGGAUCGGCUAACUCCGUGCCAGCAGCCGCGGUAAUACGGAGGAUCCGAGCGUUAUCCGGAUUUAUUUGGUUUAAAGGAAGCGUAGAUGGGUUGUUAAGUCAGUUGUGAAAGUUUGGGGCUCAACCGUAAAAUUGCAAUUGAUACUGGCAGUCUUGAGUACAGUUGAGGGAGGGGGAAUUCGAGGUGUAGCGGUGAAAUGCGUAGAUAUCAGGAAGAACACCGAUGGCGAAGGCAGCUUACUAAACUGUGACUGACAUUGAUGCGCGAAAGUGUGGGUAGCAAACAGGAUUAGAUACCCUAGUAGUC
This 460-nucleotide ribosomal RNA is filed under the name uncultured bacterium. RNAcentral describes it as "partial 16S ribosomal RNA". It matches the Rfam family "Bacterial small subunit ribosomal RNA", at positions 338 to 795 of the family's 1533-position model. The record is from RNAcentral.